GGGGAAUAUUGGACAAUGGGCGAAAGCCUGAUCCAGCAAUACCGCGUGAAUGAUAAAGGCCUUAGGGUUGUAAAGUUCUUUUAGCAGGGAAGAUGAUGACGGUACCUGCAGAAAAAGCCCCGGCUAACUCCGUGCCAGCAGCCGCGGUAAGACGGAGGGGGCUAGCGUUGUUCGGAAUUACUGGGCGUAAAGAGUGCGUAGGCGGUUUAGUAAGUUGGAAGUGAAAUCCCGGGGCUUAACCUCGGAACUGCUUUCAAAACUAUUAGGCUAGAGUAUGGUAGGGGGUGAUGGAAUUCCGAGUGUAGAGGUGAAAUUCUUAGAUAUUCGGAGGAACACCGGUGGCGAAGGCGGUCACCUGGGCCAUAACUGACGCUGAUGCACGAAAGCGUGGGGAGCAAAC
This 400-nucleotide ribosomal RNA is filed under the name uncultured bacterium. RNAcentral's name for it is "bacterial SSU rRNA". It matches the Rfam family "Bacterial small subunit ribosomal RNA", at positions 356 to 773 of the family's 1533-position model. The record is from RNAcentral.